AGAUGUCCCAGCUGAAUGGAGCAUAAACAAGAAGUAAACCCUGGUUGUUAUAAGUCACUGACUUUUGGGGAUUGUCAUUGCAGCAUAAUGUGGCCUAUCCUACCUGGUGCAGUUACUCUGGGUGGUGUGUGAAUGGGCUAAAGAAGUUCCUGCAAGAGAAGAGUGGGGCCUGGGUCUGCCUUUCCCAUUGCCAAGGUGCCUUCUGCUGGCAGCAUCAUCCAUUAUGACUGACCAUGGCAAAUGCCGGUCAGCUGGCCUCACAGCAGGUGUUAGGAAAAUAGUCUUUGGCUUGAUUAUACUAUCUGGCUUUCCCCAAGGAGGUGUCCUCAGAUUUGUUCAAGCCCAAAAGAAUCUUAUACCUGAACCCCCCAGUCCCUAGCCCCUGGGGACUGGAGUUUACCUUUGAGCAGGGCCAUCCCUUGAUUCUGGGUGUGAGCACUUGGUGAGAAGAAAAUAAGCAAAAUAACUAUCCACGGUUCUUGGGGAUGCCCUGAAAGCUCAAAUACUGAAGCUGCAGAUGGAGCAGUUAAGUAUUCUAAAGGGAA
Molecule: long non-coding RNA, 545 nt
Organism: Nomascus leucogenys (northern white-cheeked gibbon)
Lineage: Eukaryota; Metazoa; Chordata; Mammalia; Primates; Hylobatidae
Exons: 4
Source: RefSeq, a predicted model, not a curated record